Molecule: ribosomal RNA, 319 nt
Filed under: uncultured Actinomycetes bacterium
Lineage: Bacteria; Bacillati; Actinomycetota; Actinomycetes
Description: bacterial SSU rRNA
Rfam family: Bacterial small subunit ribosomal RNA
Source: RNAcentral
GACGAACGCUGGCGGCGUGCUUAACACAUGCAAGUCGAGCGGUAAGGCCCUUCGGGGUACACGAGCGGCGAACGGGUGAGUAACACGUGGGUGACCUGCCCUCCACUUCGGGAUAAGCCUGGGAAACUGGGUCUAAUACCGGAUAGGACCGAGAGAUGCAUGUUUCUUGGUGGAAAGUUUUUUCGGUGGGGGAUGGGCCCGCGGUCUAUCAGCUUGUUGGUGGGUGGAUGGCCUACCAAGGCGACGACGGAUAGCCGGCCUGAGAGGGUGAUCGGCCACACUGGGACUGAGACACGGCCCAGACUCCUACGGGAGGCAG